Molecule: RNA transcript, 2767 nt
Organism: Brassica rapa (field mustard)
Lineage: Eukaryota; Viridiplantae; Streptophyta; Magnoliopsida; Brassicales; Brassicaceae
Gene name: transcription initiation factor TFIID subunit 11-like
Source: RefSeq, a predicted model, not a curated record
AUGAAGCGUUACAAAGAUCCUUUUGAAGCCGCCAUUGAGGAGGAGCAUGAUGAAUCUCCUCUAGACUCACCUGUUUGGCCUUCUCCGUCAGGUGAAGAAACUUAAGAUCUCUGAGGAUAUAUAUGGAAGUUGAUCUCACCAAAACCCCAGCUAAUGAUCGUGCGAAGAAGGUAGCCAAAAUGCAUGCUAUUAUAUCGCAAUUCACAGAGGAUCAAAUGAGUCGAUAUGAAUGUUUUAGGAGAUCUACUCUUCACAAAUCAAACAUGAAGAAGUUAUUAGAGAGUAUCACAGGGAUUAAGAAUAUGAACAACAACGUGUUAGUGGUAUAGCAAAGAUGUCUGUUGGCGAACUCGUGGAAACUGCUAGACUUGUUAUGGUCAAAAGGAAUGAAACAGGCCUUGCCACAUCCGAGAAUCCUAUCGUAUGCUCAAGCUUCAAGGAAAACUGCCACAAAAAAAACAGUUACACGCCUUUUCCGCUAAGUCAGAGAGUGACUUUCAGAAAGACGAUCAUAUUAUAUCAUAAAGGUAAACCCGUAAUAUACGUGUGUUGUUUUGCUUUCUAUUAUACUUCACAAAAGAGUUCGUACUUCGUAUAAUAUCAUAUACAAAAGACAUACAAACACACACUAUAGGUAAAGAGCCGUCUCUUGCUUUUAAAAGUCAUCUCUGCUUUCUUUCUUACUCAUACCAAGCUUUGAAAGUCAUUUAUAAUAUGAAAAAAACAGUAUUAUAAAUCCAAUAUAACUAUAAUUUGUUUAUUGGACAAACUAAAAUUAGUAGUGUAUCACUAUAAAGCUUAAACAAUACAAAAUAGUUAUAGUUAAGUAAUAAAUUAGAAAAUAAUAAUAUUUGGCAUAAUUAGGAAAAUAAACUAAAAAAAUAUGUGUGUUUUACAAGUAAAAAUAUUUUUCUCUAAAAUUUAGUUGUGGUAUCUUUGUAGAACUUUUUCUAUUAUUAAUAUAAACAAAAAAAAAAUAGUACUUUGAUUUUGAAGCUAGGAAAAAAUGAAAGUAUUAUACAAUGAGUCACAUUUUGAGUUUUAUUAUAUCACUCUAUGACACUUAUUAUUCCACACACAUUUUUGAUGUAUUCUUUCUAUGGUGACUACAAGUUACAAUCUAACUAAUAUUUAAUUUUUACAAAAACUAAGUCAUUUUCCGCGCUACGCGCGGUUAGUUACUUUAACAAUAUUGCAACUAGUUUUGUUAUAUGAAUAUAAUAUAUUGCAGAAUUAUCAUAUUGAAAAAAUGCUCUAUUUUUUGUUAAUUGAAUGUUGUAUAUAGUUUUAAACAAUUUUGUAAUAAAAUCCUUUUGAUUAAUUUGCCAAAUUACCAAAACUGAGUUUAAAAUACAAAAACAGUUCGGAUGGUGCCGAAAUUUUGUUCGCAGUUGUGAUUCCUCUAUUGUUAUCUCUGAGCUGUAGACAAAAGAUGUAGCUCUAACUCAUGUACUGAUACUCUUAUUUUUUUUAAGUUGUUGAUUUUUCUUAUUUUUUCAAAGUAAAAUGUGUAGUCUAUGGUUAAAAAAAAAAAUAUUUUUCUUGUAAAUAAAAGUUAUUAAAUAAUAUAUAUAUAAGUUAAAUUUGUAUUUGUUUUACCUUUAUCAACUUUAUUAAAAAAAGAAAUAUUUUUCUUGUAAAUAAAAGUUAUUAAAUAAUAUAUAUAAGUUAAAUUAUUGUAUUUAAGAAGUCAUACAAUUAAUAUUAACAAAAUAAACCAUUGAUUAUGUAAAAUAAAUAUCAAUAUAUACAAAAACAAAAAUAAACAUCUGUGCCAAUCAAAAUGUAGUUUAUAGUAAAACUUGCGAAUCUUUUUGUUGUAUAAUAUGCAUUAAUCUUAUAUUGAAUUAAUUUGUAGAAGUUGAGCUUUAUUUAAUUCACAUAUCUGUUGGGCCUGGUCCUCGGUUUAACAUUGUUUUGGUUUUGCUUUCGUCAUUCAAUCAAGACCUCACUGAAUUCUUUGAUAGUUCUUUCUUUACUGAAAUAAUCCACAGCCAUAUAAAACAGUUGAUCAAAAAUUAUGACCCGGCCAUUAACCUGCAAAUUCGACCAAACUCUGUUAUUCACCAAUUUUAAUUUUGCGUAUUAAAGACCUGAGACGAGACCUAAGACACCAUUGAUAACAUCUUUUGGAAUGACGAAUCUUCCAAAUUACUAAACUUCUUAAGCUAUUGAAUAUAAGCACCCAUAGUACACUUGAAUGGUCCUUGAAGAGAAGACCAAUAAGUGCAGAGUGGGAUAUCCCUAAAACCUCACCUACCUCUGAAGACAACUUCAAGCUACAAACACCCCCAAUCACCGUAUGCUUUCAGAAGUAACAGCUAAGCAAAACAGCAAGUUUCACCGCAUCUACAACGUAACCAAACAUUUAAGAAUAGAGUCGACAUGGAAACAUUCGAAUGGUCUUAAAAGAGAUAGGAAACAGAGGUCAUCAAUUAUUUAAUCGAGGCUUUAUAACGCCUCAGACACACAAACCAACCAUGAUAAGUUUUAAAGAUAGCGGAACUAAAAACGCAGACAUUGUUGUUUCAUGAUACGACAGAGGACAAAGACUUAAAAGCCACCACGGAGACGCAACACCAAGUGAAGGGUAGACUCCUUCUGAAUGUUGUAGUCGGCAAGGGUGCGACCAUCCUCAAGCUGCUUGCCAGCGAAGAUGAGACGCUGCUGGUCUGGAGGGAUCCCUUCCUUGUCUUGGAUUUUGGCCUUGACGUUAUCAAUGGUGUCCGAGCUCUCCACCUCAAGUGUGAUGGUCUUUCCGGUAAGA